UACGUAGGUGGCAAGCGUUUGUUCGGAAUUACUGGGCGUAAAGCGCGCGUAGGCGGCUCUUCAAGUCAGGCGUGAAAGCCCCGGGCUUAACUCGGGAACUGCGCUUGAUACUGUCGAGCUAGAGUGUGGAAGGGGCGAUUGGAAUUCCGUGUGUAGCGGUGAAAUGCGUAGAUAUACGGAGGAACACCAGGGGCGAAGGCGGAUCGCUGGGCCAACACUGACGCUGAUGCGCGAAAGCUAGGGGAGCAAACGGG
Molecule: ribosomal RNA, 254 nt
Filed under: uncultured bacterium
Lineage: Bacteria
Description: partial 16S ribosomal RNA
Rfam family: Bacterial small subunit ribosomal RNA
Source: RNAcentral